Molecule: unclassified non-coding RNA, 222 nt
Filed under: uncultured Solirubrobacterales bacterium
Lineage: Bacteria; Bacillati; Actinomycetota; Thermoleophilia; Solirubrobacterales
Description: contains 16S-23S intergenic spacer region
Source: RNAcentral
UCCGGUUUGUCACCGGCAGUCUCGCAUGAGUCCCCAACUAAAUGCUGGCAACAUGCGACGGGGGUUGCGCUCGUUGCGGGACUUAACCCAACAUCUCACGACACGAGCUGACGACAGCCAUGCACCACCUGUGAAGGUCCAGCCGAACUGACCCCGUGUUUCCACGGGUAUGACCUACAUGUCAAGCCCAGGUAAGGUGGGGAUGACGUAGUACACCUGAAC